RNA transcript from Chenopodium quinoa (quinoa), 3698 nucleotides. It is a transcript of the gene named coatomer subunit beta'-1, with no coding region annotated. The record is from RefSeq and is a predicted model, not a curated record. NCBI's taxonomy places the organism in Eukaryota, Viridiplantae, Streptophyta, Magnoliopsida, Caryophyllales, Amaranthaceae. The transcript has 26 exons.
UAUAUGAAGCCACAUUUGAGUCUCCCCGAAAAACUAUUCUCCGAAACGCUAACUUACCCCCUCUCUCUUUUAUCUCUCUCUUCCCUCACUUCACUUCGGCGCCAUUGAAGCUCCGCUCACCUGAUAUCUCUCUCUCUCUCUCUUCUUCUGCAAUUUUUCCAUCUCUCAAUUUCAAUCUCAUCGCUAAUCUACACUCAAUUGUCGGCAGAUUUAAUUUACCCUAAAUAUGCCUCUCCGACUCAAUAUCAAGAGGAAACUCGCGCAAAGAUCAGAGCGAGUGAAGUCUGUGGAUCUACAUCCAACCGAACCAUGGAUUUUAGCGAGUCUCUAUUCUGGAACUGUUGUUAUCUGGAACUACCAGUCACAGACCAUGGCAAAGUCUUUCGAAGUAUCUGAGCUACCAGUUCGGUCAGCAAAGUUUAUUUCACGGAAGCAAUGGGUUGUUGCUGGAGCAGACGACAUGUUUAUACGUGUCUACAACUACAAUACUAUGGAUAAAGUUAAAGUAUUUGAGGCUCAUACAGAUUAUAUUAGGUGUGUAGCUGUGCAUCCCACUCUCCCUUAUGUGCUAUCAUCAUCUGAUGAUAUGCUCAUUAAGCUUUGGGAUUGGGAUAAGGGUUGGAAUUGCACUCAGAUAUUUGAAGGGCAUUCCCACUAUGUGAUGCAAGUCACUUUUAACCCCAAAGAUACUAACACCUUUGCUAGUGCAUCCCUUGAUCGCACGAUAAAGAUCUGGAAUCUUGGCUCACAGGAUCCAAAUUUUACUUUGGAUGCCCAUGUUAAAGGGGUGAAUUGUGUUGACUACUUUACUGGUGGUGACAAACCAUACCUGAUUACUGGUUCUGAUGAUCACACGGCGAAGGUCUGGGACUAUCAGACAAAGAGCUGUGUCCAGACUUUGGAAGGGCACACGCACAACGUUUCUGCUGUCUGUUUUCAUCCCGAACUUCCUAUAAUCAUCACUGGUUCUGAGGAUGGAACAGUUCGCAUAUGGCAUUCAACAACAUACAGGCUUGAGAAUACUCUCAACUAUGGUCUUGAAAGAGUUUGGGCUAUUGGAUACAUGAAGAGCUCCCGUCGUGUUGUGAUCGGAUAUGAUGAAGGAACCAUCAUGGUGAAAAUGGGUCGUGAAAUACCUGUUGCUAGCAUGGAUAAUAGUGGAAAAAUUAUAUGGGCUAAGCAUAAUGAGAUUCAAACUGUUGAUAUCAGGCGUGUUGGUGCUGGCUAUGAGGUGACUGAUGGUGAAAGGUUGCCAUUGGCUGUGAAGGAGUUGGGAUCUUGUGAUCUUUACCCACAGUUUUUAAAGCACAACCCAAAUGGGAGGUUUGUCGUGGUUUGUGGGGAUGGAGAGUACAUCAUUUACACUGCUGUUGCUUGGAGGAAUAGGUCGUUUGGUUCAGCUUUGGAGUUUGUUUGGUCAUCUGAAGGAGAAUAUGCUGUCAGAGAAAGCACUUCUAAGAUCAAGAUUUUCAGCAAAAAUUUCCAGGAAAAGAAGAGUAUCAGACCUACUUUUUCCGCAGAGAGAAUAUACGGUGGAACUUUGUUGGCCAUGUGCUCUAAUGAUUUCAUAUGUUUCUAUGACUGGGUUGAAUGCAGAUUUAUCCGUAGGAUUGAUGUCAAUGUUAAAAAUCUAUACUGGGCUGAUAGUGGUGACUUGGUGGCUAUUGCUAGUGACACAUCUUUCUACAUCCUUAAAUACAAUCGCGAUGCUGUGUCAUCCUAUGUGGAUAGUGGAAAGCCGAUAGAUGACCAGGGUGUGGAGGAUGCAUUUGAGCUUCUCCAUGAAACAAAUGAACGUGUGAGAACAGGAAUUUGGGUUGGAGAUUGUUUCAUAUACAAUAAUUCCUCCUGGAGGCUGAAUUAUUGUGUUGGUGGUGAGGUAACCACAAUGUUUCACUUGGACCGUCCAAUGUACCUGAUGGGCUAUCUUGCUAGUCAGAGUCGGGUGUAUCUUAUUGAUAAAGAAUUCAAUGUGAUAGGUUACACUUUACUGCUUAGCUUGAUUGAAUACAAGACACUUGUGAUGCGUGGAGAUUUUGAACGUGCCGAGGAACUUUUACCUACAAUUCCAAAGGAGCACCAUAAUAGUGUGGCUCGCUUCCUUGAAUCACGUGGAAUGGUUGCUGAGGCUCUUGAAGUGGCUACUGACCCUGAUUAUAAGUUUGAUCUUGCCAUACAGCUCGGCAGACUAGAAAUUGCAAAGGAGAUUGCUACAGAAGUUCAGAGUGAAUCUAAGUGGAAACAGUUGGGAGAAUUGGCCAUGUCUACUGGAAAGUUUGAAAUGGCAGAAGAAUGCUUGAAGCAUGCAAAGGAUUUCAGUGGCAUGUUGCUUCUUUAUUCUUCAAUUGGAGAUGCUGAGGGAAUUUCAGAGCUUGCUACCCUAGCUAAAGAACAAGGCAAAAACAAUGUUGCUUUCCUUUGCUUAUUUACGUUGGGUAAAUUGGAAGAAUGUCUUCAGCUGUUGAUAGACAGUAACCGAAUUCCUGAGGCUGCUUUGAUGGCACGUUCUUAUCUUCCCAGCAAAGUUUCCGAAAUUGUUGCCUUAUGGAGAAAGGAUCUCAGCAAGGUAAAUUCAAAGGCUGCAGAAUCAUUGGCAGAUCCUCAGGAGUAUCCUAAUCUGUUUGAGGAUUGGCAAAUUUCUCUUGCUGUUGAGUCUAAAGUUGCCGAGACAAGAGGCAGUUAUCCUCCUGCUGAGCAAUACUUGCAAUAUGCUGAGAAAUCAAAAAUUGAUCUUGUUGAAGCCUUUAAGAGUAUGCAGAUAGAGGAAGACCAACCUCUUGAAAAUGGUGACACAGUACAUGAAGACGAGGUUCAUGAAGAUGAGGUGCAUGAAGAUGAGGUUCUUGAAGAUGAAAAUGGAGCAGAUGAAAGUCAAGAAGAGGGUGUUGUUGUAGAUGCUGAUUCUAAUGAUGGCGCUGUGCUCGUCAACGGUAACGAAACCGAAGAAUGGGGUACGAAUAAUGACGGAACCCCAUCAGCUUAAAGGCAAUUGGUUGGGCCAGUGUUGAAAAUCCAAAUUUUGUCUCUGUGCUUACUCAACAUCCAUAAGGUCCCUUGUAUAACUGUUGAUUUUGGCUUGUAGACACCCUUGCAUAAGCAGGUUUUUGAACGGGAUGGCAGGUUAGGGGACUGAAUUGUUCACCGUUGCUAUAGGGUUGUUUUGUAGCGCUUGAGAGUUCCAUCGGAGGGCCACAUUUUAGAUACAGUUAAAUAAUGUUUCUGCUGUUUUAUAGUUCAUUUUCAUAGGAUAUUCUUUGUGGCCUUCUCCUCACCUUCCUUUGAUAGUAUAAUACAAAUUGUUAAUGUGAAUGUAGAAAGUUUUUUUUUUUCCUUCUCCUAUAUAGUAUGUCUUGGUUGUUAGAUCAGGGUGAUCAGCCCAUAAGAUUUGAUUUUAUAUAUUUGGUUUGCACGUUACGGCAAAUAAUUAGUAGGAAAAUUUUGCAGAGGCAUGUCUCUAAUAGGAGUGUAAUAGAGCCAUGUCCUGUGAGAGUAAAGUAAUAAGCAUCGUGUAUUUGAUUUUAUAUAUUUGGUUUGCACGUUACGGCAAAUAUUUAGUAGGAAAAUUUUGCAGAGGCAUGUCUCUAAUAGGAGUGUAAUAGAGCCAUGUCCUGUGAGAGUAAAGUAAUAAGCAUUGUGUAUUUGACUGCUUUGUUUUGAUAUCUACAGACUAGUUAAUCUUGAAAGAUUUAAUUCUGGUA